GCGUGCUUAACACAUGCAAGUCGAACGGAAAGGCCCUGCUUGCAGGGUACUCGAGUGGCGAACGGGUGAGUAACACGUGGGUGAUCUGCCUUGCACUUCGGGACAAGCCUGGGAAACUGGGUCUAAUACCGGAUAGGAGCCAUUUUUAGUGUGAUGGUUGGAAAGUUUUUUCGGUGUAGGAUGAGCUCGCGGCCUAUCAGCUUGUUGGUGGGGUAAUGGCCUACCAAGGCGGCGACGGGUAGCCGGCCUGAGAGGGUGGACGGCCACAUUGGGACUGAGAUACGGCCCAGACUCCUACGGGAGGCAGCAGUGGGGAAUAUUGCACAAUGGGCGCAAGCCUGAUGCAGCGACGCCGCGUGGGGGAUGACGGCCUUCGGGUUGUAAACUCCUUUCGCUAGGGACGAAGCUUUUUGUGACGGUACCUAGAUAAGAAGCACCGGCUAACUACGUGCCAGCAGCCGCGGUAAUACGUAGGGUGCGAGCGUUGUCCGGAAUUACUGGGCGUAAAGGGCUCGUAGGUGGUUUGUCGCGUCGUCUGUGAAAUUCCGGGGCUUAACUCCGAGCGUGCAGGCGAUACGGGCAUAACUUGAGUACUGUAGGGGUAACUGGAAUUCCUGGUGUAGCGGUGAAAUGCGCAGAUAUCAGGAGGACACCGAUGGCGAAGGCAGGUUACUGGGCA
This 679-nucleotide ribosomal RNA is filed under the name uncultured Actinomycetales bacterium. Its description in RNAcentral is "bacterial SSU rRNA". It matches the Rfam family "Bacterial small subunit ribosomal RNA", at positions 42 to 735 of the family's 1533-position model. The record is from RNAcentral. Lineage: Bacteria; Bacillati; Actinomycetota; Actinomycetes; Actinomycetales.